Molecule: unclassified non-coding RNA, 240 nt
Filed under: soil metagenome
Description: partial contains 5.8S ribosomal RNA, internal transcribed spacer 2, and large subunit ribosomal RNA
Source: RNAcentral
AACGCACGAGACCUGCGGACCUGCGGAGGGAUCAUUACCGAGUUUACAACUCCCAAACCCAAUGUGAACGUUACCAAACUGUUGCCUCGGCGGGAUCUUCUGCCCCGGGUGCGUCGCAGCCCCGGACCAAGGCGCCCGCCGGAGGACCAACCAAAAACUCUUUUUGUAUACCCCCUCGCGGGUUUUUAUAUAUCUGAGCCUUUCUCGGCGCCCCUCCGUGGGCGUUUCGAAAAUGAAUCA